CACCGCCCGUCACAUCACGAAAGUUUGUUGCUCUUGAAGUCACCCAGCUAACCGCAAGGAGGCAGGUGCCGACGGAGUGGCUGGCGAUUGGGGUG
This 95-nucleotide ribosomal RNA is filed under the name uncultured bacterium. Its description in RNAcentral is "partial 16S ribosomal RNA". It matches the Rfam family "Bacterial small subunit ribosomal RNA", at positions 1388 to 1482 of the family's 1533-position model. The record is from RNAcentral.